RNAcentral lists this ribosomal RNA (484 nucleotides) under uncultured bacterium. Its description in RNAcentral is "partial 16S ribosomal RNA". It matches the Rfam family "Bacterial small subunit ribosomal RNA", at positions 30 to 507 of the family's 1533-position model. The record is from RNAcentral.
AUUGAACGCUGGCGGCAGGCCUAACACAUGCAAGUCGAGCGGAUGAAGGGAGCUUGCUCCUGGAUUCAGCGGCGGACGGGUGAGUAAUGCCUAGGAAUCUGCCUGGUAGUGGGGGAUAACGUCCGGAAACGGGCGCUAAUACCGCAUACGUCCUGAGGGAGAAAGUGGGGGAUCUUCGGACCUCACGCUAUCAGAUGAGCCUAGGUCGGAUUAGCUAGUUGGUGGGGUAAAGGCCUACCAAGGCGACGAUCCGUAACUGGUCUGAGAGGAUGAUCAGUCGCACUGGAACUGAGACACGGUCCAGACUCCUACGGGAGGCAGCAGUGGGGAAUAUUGGACAGUGGGCGAAAGCCUGAUCCAGCCAUGCCGCGUGUGUGAAGAAGGUCUUCGGAUUGUAAAGCACUUUAAGUUGGGAGGAAGGGCAGUAAGUUAAUACCUUGCUGUUUUGACGUUACCAACAGAAUAAGCACCGGCUAACUUCGUG